RNAcentral lists this ribosomal RNA (253 nucleotides) under uncultured bacterium. RNAcentral's name for it is "partial 16S ribosomal RNA". It matches the Rfam family "Bacterial small subunit ribosomal RNA", at positions 524 to 776 of the family's 1533-position model. The record is from RNAcentral.
UACGGAGGGGGCUAGCGUUGUUCGGAAUUACUGGGCGUAAAGCGCGCGUAGGCGGCUUAGCAAGUUAGAGGUGAAAGCCCGGAGCUUAACUCCGGAAUUGCCUUUAAAACUGCAAAGCUAGAAUCAUGGAGAGGUGAGUGGAAUUCCGAGUGUAGAGGUGAAAUUCGUAGAUAUUCGGAAGAACACCAGUGGCGAAGGCGACUCACUGGACAUGUAUUGACGCUGAGGUGCGAAAGCGUGGGGAGCAAACAGG